This 1009-nucleotide long non-coding RNA is filed under the name Setaria viridis. RNAcentral's name for it is "long non-coding RNA (SVIR_LNC001036)". Lineage: Eukaryota; Viridiplantae; Streptophyta; Magnoliopsida; Poales; Poaceae. The record is from RNAcentral.
GUGACCAUGUCACGUGUCGAAGAGCAAAGCAAACGACGACGAAGAUUGAAACGCUGCACUCGAUCGAUCGGUUCAAUCCAUCGGACUUAGGCGUAGUCCUGGUCGGCGACCUGCUGGUAGUUGCCGCCGAUGAAGACGUCGCCGUAGAUGAGGCCGGCGAGGCCACCGCCGAUGAGCGGGCCGACCCAGUAGACCCAGUUGCCGGCGAAGUUGCCAGCGGCGACGGCGGGGCCGAAGGAGCGGGCGGGGUUCAUGGAGCCGCCGCUGAAGGGGCCGGCGGCAAGGAUGUUGGCACCGACGAUGAAGCCGAUGGCGAUGGGGGCGAUGGUGCCGAGGGAGCCCUUCUUGGGGUCGGCGGCGGUGGCGUACACGGUGUACACGAGCGCGAAGGUGAUGAUGAUCUCGAACACCACGCCCUCCAGCUCGCUGAUGCCGGCGACGCCGUGGGUCGGGAUGGCCUUGCCGUGGGUCACGAACUUGAGGAGCAGGCAGGCCACGGAGGCGCCGAGCAGCUGGGCGACCCAGUAGAAGAGGCCGGUGAGGAUGGUGAUGUGGCCGCCGACGGCGAGGCCGAAGGUCACGGCGGGGUUGAGGUGACCGCCGGAGAUGUUGGCGGCGACGGAGACGCCGACGAAGAGGGCCAAUGCGUGGGCGAUCGCGAUCGCCACCAGGCCGGAAGCGUCGAGCGCGCCGCCAUGGCUCAGUUGCCCUGCACGUACACGCACGGCAAGUAAUCGAUCGAUCAGCACGCGGAGUCAAAGUGUACGAUACGCCUCGAGAUCGACGGAACAGCAGAACUCACCGUAGGCGAUGGCGGAACCGACGCCGGCGAAGACGAAGAGGAGGGUGGCGAUGAACUCGGCCACGUAGGCCUUGAUGGAGGUGGUGCUGAAGGAGUCGCCGACGCUUCCGAACGCGAGCUUCACCAUCUUGCCUUCGCUUUGCUCUUCGAGCUACACCGAAAGCUUUGGCUCUCUGCGCUUGAGAUUGCUUACUAAUCUGAUGCAGC